This 224-nucleotide ribosomal RNA is filed under the name Euglena gracilis. Its description in RNAcentral is "partial large subunit (LSU) ribosomal RNA". Lineage: Eukaryota; Euglenozoa; Euglenophyceae; Euglenales; Euglenaceae. The record is from RNAcentral.
GGGGUUAAUCUAAUUAACUUUAAACCAUAAUAAGAUUGGAUAAACAUCAUAUAUUAUAUAAUUAUAAUUAAUAUUAUUGUAUUUGUAUAUAUAAAUUAUAUCUAGGAUUGAUAGUAUUCAUGAUAUAUUGUUUUAUCACAAAUUUAUAAUAUAUAUACAUAAUAUCAAUUGAUUAUUAUUAUGAUGAAUAUUAUAUGUUUAAUAAAUUAGUAGAGCUUAUAAUC